UGCGAAGGGGGCUAGCGUUGCUCGGAAUCACUGGGCGUAAAGGGUGCGUAGGCGGGGCUUUAAGUUAGGGGUGAAAUCCUGGAGCUCAACUCCAGAACUGCCUUUGAUACUGAAGAUCUUGAGUUCGGGAGAGGUGAGUGGAACUGCGAGUGUAGAGGUGAAAUUCGUAGAUAUUCGCAAGAACACCAGUGGCGAAGGCGGCUCACUGGCCCGAUACUGACGCUGAGGCACGAAAGCGUGGGGAGCAAACAGG
RNAcentral lists this ribosomal RNA (253 nucleotides) under uncultured bacterium. Its description in RNAcentral is "partial 16S ribosomal RNA". It matches the Rfam family "Bacterial small subunit ribosomal RNA", at positions 524 to 776 of the family's 1533-position model. The record is from RNAcentral.